RNAcentral lists this ribosomal RNA (2906 nucleotides) under Escherichia coli. RNAcentral's name for it is "23S ribosomal RNA". It matches the Rfam family "Bacterial large subunit ribosomal RNA". The record is from RNAcentral. RNAcentral also lists the same sequence under 3 other names. Lineage: Bacteria; Pseudomonadati; Pseudomonadota; Gammaproteobacteria; Enterobacterales; Enterobacteriaceae.
GGUUAAGCGACUAAGCGUACACGGUGGAUGCCCUGGCAGUCAGAGGCGAUGAAGGACGUGCUAAUCUGCGAUAAGCGUCGGUAAGGUGAUAUGAACCGUUAUAACCGGCGAUUUCCGAAUGGGGAAACCCAGUGUGAUUCGUCACACUAUCAUUAACUGAAUCCAUAGGUUAAUGAGGCGAACCGGGGGAACUGAAACAUCUAAGUACCCCGAGGAAAAGAAAUCAACCGAGAUUCCCCCAGUAGCGGCGAGCGAACGGGGAGCAGCCCAGAGCCUGAAUCAGUAUGUGUGUUAGUGGAAGCGUCUGGAAAGGCGCGCGAUACAGGGUGACAGCCCCGUACACAAAAAUGCACAUGCUGUGAGCUCGAUGAGUAGGGCGGGACACGUGGUAUCCUGUCUGAAUAUGGGGGGACCAUCCUCCAAGGCUAAAUACUCCUGACUGACCGAUAGUGAACCAGUACCGUGAGGGAAAGGCGAAAAGAACCCCGGCGAGGGGAGUGAAAAAGAACCUGAAACCGUGUACGUACAAGCAGUGGGAGCACAGAGCAAUCUGUGUGACUGCGUACCUUUUGUAUAAUGGGUCAGCGACUUAUAUUCUGUAGCAAGGUUAACCGAAUAGGGGAGCCGAAGGGAAACCGAGUCUUAACUGGGCGUUAAGUUGCAGGGUAUAGACCCGAAACCCGGUGAUCUAGCCAUGGGCAGGUUGAAGGUUGGGUAACACUAACUGGAGGACCGAACCGACUAAUGUUGAAAAAUUAGCGGAUGACUUGUGGCUGGGGGUGAAAGGCCAAUCAAACCGGGAGAUAGCUGGUUCUCCCCGAAAGCUAUUUAGGUAGCGCCUCGUGAAUUCAUCUCCGGGGGUAGAGCACUGUUUCGGCAAGGGGGUCAUCCCGACUUACCAACCCGAUGCAAACUGCGAAUACCGGAGAAUGUUAUCACGGGAGACACACGGCGGGUGCUAACGUCCGUCGUGAAGAGGGAAACAACCCAGACCGCCAGCUAAGGUCCCAAAGUCAUGGUUAAGUGGGAAACGAUGUGGGAAGGCCCAGACAGCCAGGAUGUUGGCUUAGAAGCAGCCAUCAUUUAAAGAAAGCGUAAUAGCUCACUGGUCGAGUCGGCCUGCGCGGAAGAUGUAACGGGGCUAAACCAUGCACCGAAGCUGCGGCAGCGACGCUUAUGCGUUGUUGGGUAGGGGAGCGUUCUGUAAGCCUGUGAAGGUGUGCUGUGAGGCAUGCUGGAGGUAUCAGAAGUGCGAAUGCUGACAUAAGUAACGAUAAAGCGGGUGAAAAGCCCGCUCGCCGGAAGACCAAGGGUUCCUGUCCAACGUUAAUCGGGGCAGGGUGAGUCGACCCCUAAGGCGAGGCCGAAAGGCGUAGUCGAUGGGAAACAGGUUAAUAUUCCUGUACUUGGUGUUACUGCGAAGGGGGGACGGAGAAGGCUAUGUUGGCCGGGCGACGGUUGUCCCGGUUUAAGCGUGUAGGCUGGUUUUCCAGGCAAAUCCGGAAAAUCAAGGCUGAGGCGUGAUGACGAGGCACUACGGUGCUGAAGCAACAAAUGCCCUGCUUCCAGGAAAAGCCUCUAAGCAUCAGGUAACAUCAAAUCGUACCCCAAACCGACACAGGUGGUCAGGUAGAGAAUACCAAGGCGCUUGAGAGAACUCGGGUGAAGGAACUAGGCAAAAUGGUGCCGUAACUUCGGGAGAAGGCACGCUGAUAUGUAGGUGAAGUCCCUCGCGGAUGGAGCUGAAAUCAGUCGAAGAUACCAGCUGGCUGCAACUGUUUAUUAAAAACACAGCACUGUGCAAACACGAAAGUGGACGUAUACGGUGUGACGCCUGCCCGGUGCCGGAAGGUUAAUUGAUGGGGUCAGCGCAAGCGAAGCUCUUGAUCGAAGCCCCGGUAAACGGCGGCCGUAACUAUAACGGUCCUAAGGUAGCGAAAUUCCUUGUCGGGUAAGUUCCGACCUGCACGAAUGGCGUAAUGAUGGCCAGGCUGUCUCCACCCGAGACUCAGUGAAAUUGAACUCGCUGUGAAGAUGCAGUGUACCCGCGGCAAGACGGAAAGACCCCGUGAACCUUUACUAUAGCUUGACACUGAACAUUGAGCCUUGAUGUGUAGGAUAGGUGGGAGGCUUGGAAGUGUGGACGCCAGUCUGCAUGGAGCCGACCUUGAAAUACCACCCUUUAAUGUUUGAUGUUCUAACGUUGACCCGUAAUCCGGGUUGCGGACAGUGUCUGGUGGGUAGUUUGACUGGGGCGGUCUCCUCCUAAAGAGUAACGGAGGAGCACGAAGGUUGGCUAAUCCUGGUCGGACAUCAGGAGGUUAGUGCAAUGGCAUAAGCCAGCUUGACUGCGAGCGUGACGGCGCGAGCAGGUGCGAAAGCAGGUCAUAGUGAUCCGGUGGUUCUGAAUGGAAGGGCCAUCGCUCAACGGAUAAAAGGUACUCCGGGGAUAACAGGCUGAUACCGCCCAAGAGUUCAUAUCGACGGCGGUGUUUGGCACCUCGAUGUCGGCUCAUCACAUCCUGGGGCUGAAGUAGGUCCCAAGGGUAUGGCUGUUCGCCAUUUAAAGUGGUACGCGAGCUGGGUUUAGAACGUCGUGAGACAGUUCGGUCCCUAUCUGCCGUGGGCGCUGGAGAACUGAGGGGGGCUGCUCCUAGUACGAGAGGACCGGAGUGGACGCAUCACUGGUGUUCGGGUUGUCAUGCCAAUGGCACUGCCCGGUAGCUAAAUGCGGAAGAGAUAAGUGCUGAAAGCAUCUAAGCACGAAACUUGCCCCGAGAUGAGUUCUCCCUGACUCCUUGAGAGUCCUGAAGGAACGUUGAAGACGACGACGUUGAUAGGCCGGGUGUGUAAGCGCAGCGAUGCGUUGAGCUAACCGGUACUAAUGAACCGUGAGGCUUAACCUU